AGAGUUUGAUCCUGGCUCAGAACGAACGCUGGCGGCAGGCCUAACACAUGCAAGUCAAGGGGCUCUUCGGAGCACCGGCGCACGGGUGCGUAACACGUGGGAACAUACCUCUAGGUAAGGAAUAACUAUUGGAAACGAUAGCUAAUACCUUAUAAUCCCUUCUAGCUGGCGCUGGUUGGGCAAAGAUUUAUCGCCUAGAGAUUGGCCCGCGCUUGAUUAGAUAGUUGGUGAGGUAAUGGCUCACCAAGUCUACGAUCAAUAGCUGGUCUGAGAGGACGACCAGCCACACUGGAACUGAGACACGGUCCAGACUCCUACGGGAGGCAGCAGUGAGGAAUAUUGCACAAUGGGGGAAACCCUGAUGCAGCCAUGCCGCGUGAGUGAAGAAGGCCUUAGGGUUGUAAAACUCUUUCAGUAGUGAAGAUAAUGACGGUAACUACAGAAGAAGCUCCGGCUAACUUCGUGCCAGCAGCCGCGGUAAUACGAAUGGAGCAAGCGUUGUUCGGAAUCACUGGGCGUAAAGCGUACGUAGGCUGAUUUUCAAGUCAGAAGUGAAAGCCCAGGGCUCAACCCUGGAACUGCUUUUGAAACUGGAAGUCUAGAGUCCCGGAGAGGUUAGGGGAAUUCCGAGUGUAGCAGUGAAAUGCGCAGAUAUUCGGAGGAACACCAGUGGCGUAGGCGGCUAACUGGACGGGUACUGACACUGAGGUACGAAAGCGUGGGGAGCAAACAGGAUUAGAUACCCUGGUAGUCCACGCCGUAAACGAUGUAUGCUAGUUGUUGGAUGUUUAGGCAUUCAGUGACGGAGGGAAACCAUUAAGCAUACCGCCUGGGGAGUACGGUCGCAAGAUUAAAACUCAAAGGAAUUGACGGGGACCCGCACAAGCGGUGGAGCAUGUUGUUUAAUUCGAAUCAACGCGAAGAACCUUACCCACACUUAACUAUCCUCUUGGGGCUUUCAGAGAUGAUCGCUUUCGGUUCGCGGCCGGACUAGAUACAGGUGCUGCAUGGCUGUCGUCAGCUCGUGUCGUGAGAUGUUAGGUUAAGUCCUGCAACGAGCGCAACCCUUAUCGUAUGUUACCAUCAGGUUAAGCUGGGGACUCAUGCGAGACUGCCGGUGACAAGCCGGAGGAAGGCGGGGACGACGUCAAGUCAUCAUGGCCCUUACGUGUGGGGCUAGAAACGUGCUACAAUGGAUGUGACAGUGGGCAGCCACCUCGCGAGAGGGAGCUAAUCCUCAAACACAUUCUCAGUUCGGAUUGUACUCUGCAACUCGAGUGCAUGAAGUUGGAAUCGCUAGUAAUCGUAAAUCAGCAUGUUACGGUGAAUACGUUCCCGGGUCUUGUACACACCGCCCGUCACGUCAUGGGAGUUGGUUCUACCCGAAGACAGCGUGCUAACCUUUUGGAGGCAGCUGGCUACGGUAGGUUCAGCGACUGGGGUGAAGUCGUAACAAGGUAACC
Molecule: ribosomal RNA, 1463 nt
Filed under: uncultured prokaryote
Description: partial 16S ribosomal RNA
Rfam family: Bacterial small subunit ribosomal RNA
Source: RNAcentral